RNAcentral lists this ribosomal RNA (465 nucleotides) under uncultured bacterium. RNAcentral describes it as "partial 16S ribosomal RNA". It matches the Rfam family "Bacterial small subunit ribosomal RNA", at positions 28 to 507 of the family's 1533-position model. The record is from RNAcentral.
GACGAACGCUGGUGGCGUGCUUAACACAUGCAAGUCGAGCGAGGCCCCUCCUUCGGGAGGGUGUCCUAGCGGCGAACGGGUGAGUAACACGUGGGCAACCUGCCCUCAGCUCUGGGAUAACUCCGGGAAACCGGGGCUAAUACCGGAUACGACCUCCACGGGCAUCUGCGGAGGUGGAAAGUUUUUCGGCUGAGGAUGGGCCCGCGGCCUAUCAGCUAGUUGGUGGGGUAGUGGCCCACCAAGGCGACGACGGGUAGCCGGCCUGAGAGGGCGACCGGCCACACUGGGACUGAGACACGGCCCAGACUCCUACGGGAGGCAGCAGUGGGGAAUAUUGCGCAAUGGGCGAAAGCCUGACGCAGCGACGCCGCGUGAGGGACGAAGGCCUUCGGGUUGUAAACCUCUUUCAGCAGGGACGAAGCGAAAGUGACGGUACCUGCAGAAGAAGCACCGGCCAACUACGUG